RNAcentral lists this ribosomal RNA (269 nucleotides) under uncultured Pseudomonas sp. Its description in RNAcentral is "partial 16S ribosomal RNA". It matches the Rfam family "Bacterial small subunit ribosomal RNA", at positions 1120 to 1382 of the family's 1533-position model. The record is from RNAcentral. Lineage: Bacteria; Pseudomonadati; Pseudomonadota; Gammaproteobacteria; Pseudomonadales; Pseudomonadaceae.
AGCACGUUAUGGUGGGCGACUCUAAGGAGGACUGCCGGUGGACGAAGACCGGAGGGAAGGUGGGGAUGACGUCAAGUCAUCAUGGCCCUUACGGCCUGGGCUACACACGUGCUACAAUGGUCGGUACAAAGGGUUGCCAAGCCGCGAGGUGGAGCUAAUCCCAUAAAACCGAUCGUAGUCCGGAUCGCAGUCUGCAACUCGACUGCGUGAAGUCGGAAUCGCUAGUAAUCGUGAAUCAGAAUGUCACGGUGAAUACGUUCCCGGGCCUU